GCACAAGCAGCGGAGCGUGUGGUUUAAUUCGAAGCAACGCGAAGAACCUUACCAGAUCUUGACAUCCAAUUGACCAUCUUUUAAUCGAGAUUUUGCCUUCGGGUACAAUUGAGACAGGUGGUGCAUGGUUGUCGUCAGCUCGUGUCGUGAGAUGUUGGGUUAAGUCCCGCAACGAGCGCAACCCUUUGUGUUUAGUUGCAAACAGGUCAAGCUGUGCACUCUAGACAGACUGCCGUGGACAACACGGAGGAAGGUGGGGAUGACGUCAAAUCAUCAUGCCCCUUAUGAUCUGGGCUACACACGUGCUACAAUGGCCGGUACAACGGGCAGCGAAGGAGCGAUCCGGAGCGAAUCCUAAAAAGCCGGUCCCAGUUCGGAUUGCAGGCUGAAACUCGCCUACAUGAAGUUGGAGUUGCUAGUAAUCGCGAAUCAGAAUGUCGCGGUGAAUGCGUUCCCGGGUCUU
RNAcentral lists this ribosomal RNA (463 nucleotides) under uncultured Fusibacter sp. RNAcentral's name for it is "bacterial SSU rRNA". It matches the Rfam family "Bacterial small subunit ribosomal RNA", at positions 923 to 1382 of the family's 1533-position model. The record is from RNAcentral. Lineage: Bacteria; Bacillati; Bacillota; Clostridia; Eubacteriales; Fusibacteraceae.